This 386-nucleotide ribosomal RNA is filed under the name uncultured bacterium. Its description in RNAcentral is "bacterial SSU rRNA". It matches the Rfam family "Bacterial small subunit ribosomal RNA", at positions 30 to 417 of the family's 1533-position model. The record is from RNAcentral.
AUUGAACGCUGGCGGCAUGCCUUACACAUGCAAGUCGAACGGCAGCACGGGAGCAAUCCUGGUGGCGAGUGGCGAACGGGUGAGUAAUAUAUCGGAACGUGCCCAGUCGUGGGGAUAACGUAGCGAAAGCUACGCUAAUACCGCAUACGAUCUACGGAUGAAAGCGGGGGAUCGCAAGACCUCGCGCGAUUGGAGCGGCCGAUAUCAGAUUAGGUAGUUGGUGAGGUAAAGGCUCACCAAGCUGACGAUCUGUAGCUGGUCUGAGAGGACGACCAGCCACACUGGGACUGAGACACGGCCCAGACUCCUACGGGAGGCAGCAGUGGGGAAUUUUGGACAAUGGGCGCAAGCCUGAUCCAGCAAUGCCGCGUGCAGGAUGAAGGCCU